Molecule: small nucleolar RNA, 82 nt
Organism: Erinaceus europaeus (western European hedgehog)
Lineage: Eukaryota; Metazoa; Chordata; Mammalia; Eulipotyphla; Erinaceidae
Source: Ensembl
UCUGCUGGUGAUGAGCACUUCUCCCAUUUGUGUUCGAGUUUACUGACCAUGAGACGACCCAUGCACUACCAUCUGAGGCCGC